This is a non-coding RNA of Chelonoidis abingdonii (Abingdon island giant tortoise), 101 nucleotides long. NCBI's taxonomy places the organism in Eukaryota, Metazoa, Chordata, Testudines, Testudinidae. The record is from RefSeq and is a predicted model, not a curated record.
AAUGUCCACAAGAGUGAGUACUAGGUAGAUAAGCGCGAGGUUAGGUUUAUGUUUGUUUUCUUUAUUUGCAAAUGUGCAUUUGGCUGGAAGGAGUUUAAAUG